Molecule: long non-coding RNA, 534 nt
Filed under: Heterocephalus glaber (naked mole-rat)
Lineage: Eukaryota; Metazoa; Chordata; Mammalia; Rodentia; Bathyergidae
Description: lncRNA (ENSHGLG00100041521.1)
Source: RNAcentral
GUAGGUUUCAACUUCAGGUCAGGUGCUAACUUAACAUGACAUUUGCGUAAGGCACAACUGCUUGUGUAAGACACACACUCAGGGAUACCCAUGUCCUUCCUCCACAUCCCCAUGCUGGGCAUUGCCCUGAGCUGGGAUGCACUGGUAAUCAUCUCCUGCAUCUACCUGCAGUCCCCUCCUGCCCCCCUGGACACUGCAGGGCUUCCUGAGGUGCUUAUGAGUGCUCCUUACCCAGGCUGUGGGGCAGUGUCUGAGACUGCACAGAGUGAUUCACUGGAGUGCAGAUCGAAGGCCAACAAGAGGGGAAGGUGAGCCACCAGUGAGAUGCUCAGCUCCUUGGUGCUGAUCUGGACUUGGCAAGGAAUGAUAACGGUGAUCUAAUCCAGCCUGACACCAAGUUGACCUCUACUUUCAAAACUACCCAAAAUACUGGAUGAAGCAGGACAAACUGCUAUCUAUUAAUAGCAAAACUCACCCUAAGUCUACAUUGUGCUUUGAGUUAUAACUAAUAGUAGCCUGCAAUUAUAAUCUUCA